RNAcentral lists this transfer RNA (73 nucleotides) under Pangasianodon gigas (Mekong giant catfish). RNAcentral describes it as "tRNA-Lys". It matches the Rfam family "tRNA". From Rfam's summary of the family: Transfer RNA (tRNA) molecules are approximately 80 nucleotides in length. Their secondary structure includes four short double-helical elements and three loops (D, anti-codon, and T loops). Lineage: Eukaryota; Metazoa; Chordata; Actinopteri; Siluriformes; Pangasiidae. The record is from RNAcentral.
GCCCGGAUAGCUCAGUUGGUAGAGUAUCAGACUUUUAAUCUGAGGGUCCAGGGUUCAAGUCCCUGUUCGGGCG